UACGUAGGGUGCGAGCGUUGUCCGGAAUUAUUGGGCGUAAAGGGCUCGUAGGCGGUUUGUCGCGUCGGGAGUGAAAUCCACUGGCUUAACUGGUGGCUUGCUUUCGAUACGGGCAGACUGGAGGUAUGCAGGGGAGAACGGAAUUCCUGGUGUAGCGGUGAAAUGCGCAGAUAUCAGGAAGAACACCGGUGGCGAAGGCGGUUCUCUGGGCAUGUCCUGACGCUGAGGAGCGAAAGUGUGGGGAGCGAACAGG
RNAcentral lists this ribosomal RNA (253 nucleotides) under uncultured bacterium. RNAcentral's name for it is "partial 16S ribosomal RNA". It matches the Rfam family "Bacterial small subunit ribosomal RNA", at positions 524 to 776 of the family's 1533-position model. The record is from RNAcentral.